AUGUGUAUUUUGUCCGCAUAUGAGACAAUAAAACAUUUGUUCUUUUAUUGUAAAUUGGCUCGUUCUAUAUGGUCAGUCAUCCAGAUAGCUUCUGGCUUGUAUCCUUCGUGUAGUGUUGCUAAUAUAUUUGGCAACUGGUUACAUGGGAUUGAUCACAAGUUUAGAAUUCUUCUCAGGGUGGGAGCGCUUGCCGUGAUUUGGUCGCUUUGGCUAUGUAGAAAUGAUAAGGUUUUUAAUGAUAAAAGUACUUCCCUUAUGCAGGUUAUCUACAGAUGUACCGGGACGCUUCAUUUAUGGUCCCCUCUACAGCGAGUGGAGAAUCGAGACCUCUUUACGGAGGUGUGUACACGAUUGGAGGCUGCGGCGAGGGCUACUUUACCCAACAUGGGUGGCAGCAUGAUCUUAGGAUUGGGCCUCCUACCGUUUAGGUGUCAUACAUAUAUUCAUCUUUGUAUUUCGUCUUCUUAUUUUAUUUUGGCUUCCCGUGAGGACUUUGUUGGCUGUGUGCAUCUUAGUUAUGUAGAGGCCGGGUGCAAUACUUAA
RNAcentral lists this ribosomal RNA (543 nucleotides) under Triticum aestivum (bread wheat). RNAcentral describes it as "partial small subunit ribosomal RNA". Lineage: Eukaryota; Viridiplantae; Streptophyta; Magnoliopsida; Poales; Poaceae. The record is from RNAcentral.